CAAUUUUUAAUAACCCAUUUUGAACAUAGGCUAUGUCCUUUCUUCCGCUUUCGUGUUGCUGAUAAUAUAGCAAGAUGAGAGCAAAGUGGCGUAAGAAGCGUAUGAGGAGGUUGAAGCGUAAAAGGAGGAAGAUGCGUGCAAGGUCUAAGUAGACGUUGCCAUCGUUUAUUUUCAAAAUUCCAAUUGAUGUGUUCUGCUAUAGACCAAGGUAUUGCAACCAUGUGUUCAGUUGAGAACUCCUUUUGAUGAUGAAAACAAUGAUGAUGAUGAAUUAGCAUGGUCACGUGAUCAAAGUCUUAGUUUGACCAGGUACCAUGCUUUCGACUGAAAACAUGGCUGUUACAACAACAAUAUGUUGUCAUGGUGCACUAACACGACUUACAACAACAGCAACACAAAGCAACAACAACAAUUUGUCAUCGAGGGCUCAACUUUGGGAACUAUCUAUUUAAGAAGAAUGAGGAAGAAGAAGAAUUGGUGUCUACUGCGUGGAAGUCUCCAUGGUGACCAGGCUAGGCAUCUGUAUGGUAACCACUGUUGAGGCUUUGGUGGCUCCUCUAUGAGAACAUAUUUUGUAAUAUCUCGGACUUGGCAAUGAUCCAAUUUAUCCAAAGACAUGAAAUUGCAUGGAUUGAAUUGUUCAGUUGAGGUUUUGAAAAUAUUAAAAGAAAAAAAAUCAAAA
Long non-coding RNA from Mytilus trossulus (common blue mussel), 682 nucleotides. RefSeq lists it as uncharacterized. NCBI's taxonomy places the organism in Eukaryota, Metazoa, Mollusca, Bivalvia, Mytilida, Mytilidae. The record is from RefSeq and is a predicted model, not a curated record. The transcript has 4 exons.